This 3158-nucleotide small RNA is filed under the name Pan troglodytes (chimpanzee). RNAcentral describes it as "retained intron". The record is from RNAcentral. Lineage: Eukaryota; Metazoa; Chordata; Mammalia; Primates; Hominidae.
AAAGAGUAGCAGGCUGCUCCUAUCACUGCUGAUCCUGUGUGUGCUGUGCACCGGAUGUGGGUGGAAUGAGGCUGCAGGGGCACCUGCGUCCCCAGUGGCUAUGAUGACUAAAUGAGGAGGCCCCUGUAGAGUGCACAGCGUUCACCCAGUGACAGUGUGAUUGUAAUAGCUGGGGUUGCUGGGACCCUAGAGUAUCCACGGUGUGCAUGCACUUGAACUUCAGGAUACCCUGUUUCCCUCUGAGGUGCAAGAGCUCUGGCGAUUCCGGAUCCCUACUGUGUGUCAGGUUCUGGAAGCAUCUUCUCUCAUCUCCACGUGAUGCCCAGGGGCUCCCCCAGCUUCUAGAAGCCACCGCUUGUCCAGGGCACCAGCUCAGUCUGUCGUCAAGCCUGGAUUUGAUCUUAGGUCUAGCUGCUUCCGGAAUACCGAGACGGGCCUUUGCUGUUCCCUGAGCUUGCUGUCAGCAAACGUUUGAUGGACUUUCUGGCCGAGACCAGCCAGUGGAGCUGCUGAAUCCUGCCCGCGUGAACCACAUGCCCAGCACGGUGGAUGUGGCCGCGGCGCUGCCUCUGCAAGUGGCCCCCUCGGCAGUGCCCAUGGACCUGCGCCUGGACCACCAGUUCUCACUGCCUGUGGCAGAGCCGGCCCUGCGGGAGCAGCAGCUGCAGCAGGAGCUCCUGGCGCUCAAGCAGAAGCAGCAGAUCCAGAGGCAGAUCCUCAUCGCCGAGUUCCAGAGGCAGCACGAGCAGCUCUCCCGGCAGCACGAGGCGCAGCUCCACGAGCACAUCAAGCAACAGCAGGAGAUGCUGGCCAUGAAGCACCAGCAGGAGCUGCUGGAACACCAGCGGAAGCUGGAGAGGCACCGCCAGGAGCAAGAGCUGGAGAAGCAGCACCGGGAGCAGAAGCUGCAGCAGCUCAAGAACAAGGAGAAGGGCAAAGAGAGUGCCGUGGCCAGCACAGAAGUGAAGAUGAAGUUACAAGAAUUUGUCCUCAAUAAAAAGAAGGCGCUGGCCCACCGGAAUCUGAACCACUGCAUUUCCAGCGACCCUCGCUACUGGUACGGGAAAACGCAGCACAGUUCCCUUGACCAGAGUUCUCCACCCCAGAGCGGAGUGUCGACCUCCUAUAACCACCCGGUCCUGGGAAUGUACGACGCCAAAGAUGACUUCCCUCUUAGGAAAACAGCUUCUGAACCGAAUCUGAAAUUACGGUCCAGGCUAAAGCAGAAAGUGGCCGAAAGACGGAGCAGCCCCCUGUUACGCAGGAAAGACGGGCCAGUGGUCACUGCUCUAAAAAAGCGUCCGUUGGAUGUCACAGACUCCGCGUGCAGCAGCGCCCCAGGCUCCGGACCCAGCUCACCCAACAACAGCUCCGGGAGCGUCAGCGCGGAGAACGGUAUCGCGCCCACCGUCCCCAGCAUCCCGGCGGAGACGAGUUUGGCGCACAGACUUGUGGCACGAGAAGGCUCGGCCGCUCCACUUCCCCUCUACACGUCGCCAUCCCUGCCCAACAUCACGCUGGGCCUGCCUGCCACCGGCCCCUCUGCUGGCACGGCGGGCCAGCAGGACGCCGAGAGACUCGCCCUUCCCGCCCUCCAGCAGAGGCUCUCCCUUUUCCCCGGCACCCACCUCACUCCCUACCUGAGCACCUCGCCCUUGGAGCGGGACGGAGGGGCAGCGCACAGCCCUCUUCUGCAGCACAUGGUCUUACUGGAGCAGCCGCCGGCACAAGCGCCCCUCGUCACAGGCCUGGGAGCACUGCCCCUCCACGCACAGUCCUUGGUUGGUGCAGACCGGGUGUCCCCCUCCAUCCACAAGCUGCGGCAGCACCGCCCACUGGGGCGGACCCAGUCGGCCCCGCUGCCCCAGAACGCCCAGGCUCUGCAGCACCUGGUCAUCCAGCAGCAGCAUCAGCAGUUUCUGGAGAAACACAAGCAGCAGUUCCAGCAGCAGCAACUGCAGAUGAACAAGAUCAUCCCCAAGCCAAGCGAGCCAGCCCGGCAGCCGGAGAGCCACCCGGAGGAGACGGAGGAGGAGCUCCGUGAGCACCAGGCUCUGCUGGACGAGCCCUACCUGGACCGGCUGCCGGGGCAGAAGGAGGCGCACGCACAGGCCGGCGUGCAGGUGAAGCAGGAGCCCAUUGAGAGCGAUGACGAAGAGGCAGAGCCCCCACGGGAGGUGGAGCCAGGCCAGCGCCAGCCCAGUGAGCAGGAGCUGCUCUUCAGACAGCAAGCCCUCCUGCUGGAGCAGCAGCGGAUCCACCAGCUGAGGAACUACCAGGCGUCCAUGGAGGCCGCCGGCAUCCCCGUGUCCUUCGGCGGCCACAGGCCUCUGUCCCGGGCGCAGUCCUCACCCGCGUCUGCCACCUUCCCCGUGUCUGUGCAGGAGCCCCCCACCAAGCCGAGGUUCACGACAGGCCUCGUGUAUGACACGCUGAUGCUGAAGCACCAGUGCACCUGCGGGAGCAGCAGCAGCCACCCCGAGCACGCCGGGAGGAUCCAGAGCAUCUGGUCCCGCCUGCAGGAGACGGGCCUCCGGGGCAAAUGCGAGUGCAUCCGCGGACGCAAGGCCACCCUGGAGGAGCUACAGACGGUGCACUCGGAAGCCCACACCCUCCUGUAUGGCACGAACCCCCUCAACCGGCAGAAACUGGACAGUAAGAAACUUCUAGGCUCGCUCGCCUCCGUGUUCGUCCGGCUCCCCUGCGGUGGUGUUGGGGUGGACAGUGACACCAUAUGGAACGAGGUGCACUCGGCGGGGGCAGCCCGCCUGGCUGUGGGCUGCGUGGUAGAGCUGGUCUUCAAGGUGGCCACGGGGGAGCUGAAGGUCAGUCGGGGCCUGGACAGUGGUGGCCCUCCAGGAGGCCUGCCAUAGAUUCCCAGUGUGGGGAGGGGCCGCCCACUGCGUCUCCCUCUCAUCAGGCUGGGAGGCGGCUGUGAUGGGGAGGUGUGGACCCCACUCUGUCAGCACAGCCUCGCUAUUGAAUCAAAGAGACAUUGCCCACAUUUGUGACAGGGUAUGUGCAUAGUACAGAGAUUCUCAAUGAUUUGGGUCUUAAGAACCCUUUAUACUCUUAAAAAUUUAUACUCUUAAAAAAAAAAAAAAAGCUCCAAAGAGCUUCUGUUUACAUGAGUUAUAUCCGCAAUAUUGACUCUAUUA